CUGCGGUAUGCGCCGACGCCGGUGGCGGAGGCCUUCACGGUCUCGCGUCUGGGCGGGGGCUCGGGCCGGGUGUUCGGCACCCUGCCGCGGG
RNAcentral lists this transfer RNA (91 nucleotides) under Nocardiopsis kunsanensis. RNAcentral's name for it is "tRNA-Sec". Lineage: Bacteria; Bacillati; Actinomycetota; Actinomycetes; Streptosporangiales; Nocardiopsidaceae. The record is from RNAcentral.